GCCGGGGUGCCCGAGCGGACCAAGGGGACGGGCUGGAGACCCGUUCCCCCACACGGGGGGCGCGGGUUCGAAUCCCGCCCCCGGCGCCA
This 89-nucleotide transfer RNA is filed under the name Desulfurococcales archaeon. RNAcentral describes it as "tRNA-Ser". It matches the Rfam family "tRNA". From Rfam's summary of the family: Transfer RNA (tRNA) molecules are approximately 80 nucleotides in length. Their secondary structure includes four short double-helical elements and three loops (D, anti-codon, and T loops). The record is from RNAcentral. Lineage: Archaea; Thermoproteati; Thermoproteota; Thermoprotei; Desulfurococcales.